UUCGCCGCCCGCGACUCGGCGAGAAGUCCAUUGAACCUUAUCAUUUAGAGGAAGGAGAAGUCGUAACAAGGUUUCCGUAUUUGAACCUGCGGAAGGAUCAUUG
This 103-nucleotide ribosomal RNA is filed under the name Hylaeorchis petiolaris. RNAcentral's name for it is "partial 18S ribosomal RNA". It matches the Rfam family "Eukaryotic small subunit ribosomal RNA", at positions 1729 to 1831 of the family's 1831-position model. The record is from RNAcentral. Lineage: Eukaryota; Viridiplantae; Streptophyta; Magnoliopsida; Asparagales; Orchidaceae.